This 544-nucleotide ribosomal RNA is filed under the name uncultured bacterium. Its description in RNAcentral is "partial 16S ribosomal RNA". It matches the Rfam family "Bacterial small subunit ribosomal RNA", at positions 355 to 889 of the family's 1533-position model. The record is from RNAcentral.
UGGGGAAUUUUGGACAAUGGGCGAAAGCCUGAUCCAGCAAUGCCGCGUGUGUGAAGAAGGCCUUCGGGUUGUAAAGCACUUUUGUCCGGAAAGAAAUCCUUGGCUCUAAUACAGUCGGGGGAUGACGGUACCGGAAGAAUAAGCACCGGCUAACUACGUGCCAGCAGCCGCGGUAAUACGUAGGGUGCAAGCGUUAAUCGGAAUUACUGGGCGUAAAGCGUGCGCAGGCGGUUUGCUAAGACCGAUGUGAAAUCCCCCGGGCUCAACCUGGGGAACUGCAUUGGUGACUGGGCAGGCUAGAGUAUGGCAGAGGGGGGUAGAAUUCCACGUGUAGCAGUGAAAUGCGUAGAGAUGUGGAGGAAUACCGAUGGCGAAGGCAGCCCCCUGGGCCAAUACUGACGCUCAUGCACGAAAGCGUGGGGAGCAAACAGGAUUAGAUACCCUGGUAGUCCACGCCCUAAACGAUGUCAACUAGUUGUUGGGGAUUCAUUUCCUUAGUAACGUAGCUAACGCGUGAAGUUGACCGCCUGGGGAGUACGGUCGC